Molecule: long non-coding RNA, 4942 nt
Filed under: Sus scrofa (pig)
Lineage: Eukaryota; Metazoa; Chordata; Mammalia; Artiodactyla; Suidae
Description: lncRNA (ENSSSCG00015053456.1)
Source: RNAcentral
AGAGAAAUUCCUGUAUCAUCAAAGCAAUUUUUGUUUCUUAGUUUCUUUGAGGGGGCGAGUUGUAUGUGUCUGUAUUUUGUUAUAUGCAGUCAAAAUGAAUCCAACAUUGGGGUGGGGAGUUUGAUUUAGGAUACUUGAGUUUAAGUUGCCUAGUAGAUAUCCAAUUGGAGAUGCUGGGUAGGCAGCUGGGGUAUAUUAGUCUGGAGGGCAGAAGAGAGGCCUCAGAAUCGUCAGCUUUCAGAGGGCGUUUGAGGCUAUGGGAUUAGAGAAUGCUUUCACCCAGAGGUGAGUGUAGAGAGUAAGAAGAAGGUCUUCAAGGACUAAGCUCUAGAGCACUCCAUAGUUUAGAAAAGGACUGAAGGAAGAAGGUUGAGAAGGAGUAGUAAGUGAGGCAGGAGGGAAACUGAGAGAGUCAAGUGUCCUGAAAUUUGCCUGACAUUAACCAUACAAAUGUUUUCUUAGCUCAGUCUCCAAGGCAAUAGAAAUAAAAGCAAAAAUACACCAAAUGAGACCUAAUCAAGCUUAAAAGCUUUUGCACAGCAAAGGAAGCCAUAAAAAAAAAAAAAUGAAAAAAACAACCUAUAGAAUGGUAGAAAAUAAUUGCAAAUGAUGCAACUGACAAGGGCUUAAUCUCUAAAACAUAGAAACAACUCAUACAAUUCAAUAGCAAAAAUAAAAAUAACCCAAUUGAAAAAUGGGUAGAAGAACUAAACAGACAUUUCUCCAAAGAAGACAUAGGAAUGGGCAAGAGGCACAUGAAAAAAAUGUUCAACAUCACUAAUUAUUAGAGAAAUGCAAAUCAAUACUACGAGGUACCACCUCACACCUCUCAGAAUGGCUGUAAUUAGUAAGUCUACAAAUAACAAAUGCUGGAGAGAGUGUGGAGAAAAGGGAACCCUCCUACACUGUUGGUAGAAAUGUAAAUUGGUACAACCACUAUGGAAAACAGUAUGGAGGUACCUCAGAAAGUGAAAUAUAGAAAUACCAUAUGAUCCAGCAGUCCCACUCCUGGGCAUAUUAUCUGGAAAAAACUUUCAUUCAAAAAGAUACAUGCACCCCUAUGUUCACUGCAGCACUACUGACAAUAGUCAAGAAAGACAUGGACACAACUAAAUGUCCAUCAACAGAUGAAUGAAUUAAGAUGUGGAAUAUCACAAUGAAAACUUCUCAGCCAUAAAAAAGAACAAAAUAAUGCCAUUUGCAGCAACAUGGAUGCAACUAGAGGUUCUCAUACUAUGUGAAGUAAGUUAAAAAGAGAAAGACAAAUACCAUAUGAUAUCAUUUAUAUGUGGAAUACCAUAUGAUACCACUUAUAAGUGGAAUCUAAUACAUGACACAGAUGAACCUAUCUACAAAAAAGAAACAAACUCAUGGACAUGGAGAACAGACUUGUGGUUGCCAAGGGGGAAGGGGAGUUUGGGGUUAGUAGAUGCAAACUAUUGCAUUUGGAAUGGAUAAGCAAUGUGAUCCUGCUGUACAGUACAAGGAACUAUAUUCAACCACUUGUGAUGGAACAUGAUGGAAGAUAAUAUGAGAAAAAGAAUGUAUAUAUGUACAGUAUAAGUGGGUCACUUUGCUGUAUAGCAGAAAUUGACAGAACAUUGUAAAUCAACUAUAAUAAAAAUAUUAAAAAAAGAAAACAAGAAAGAUGAGGACUACGAACUGGCCAGUAGAUUUGGCAAUACGAAAUGUAAUGAGACAUUAGACAAGAGCAAUCUCAGAGAAGCAGUGGGUACAGCAGCAUGAUUGGAAUGUAUAAAAAGAGAAUGAGGAAAAGAAGUAGAGAUAGUGAGUUUAGACAGUUGAGUAAAUUUGCUUUAAAGGGGUACAGAGAAAUGGGGAGGUAACUAGAGGAGGCUUCAGGUCAAAGGAGUUUUUCCCUUAAUGUGUGGGCUCUUACAGGUAUAUGUGCAGGUGGUAAUAAUACUGUAUAGAGGAUAAAACUAAUGCAGGAGGGGGGAAAGUGACAAUUGCAGGUAUGAGUCCUUGAGGAUAUAAGAGAUGAUGGGAUUCAUCUGUGUUCUUCAUAGCUUUAUCUCCAAGGCCCAGAAUAAUACUUGGCACAUAGUAGGUGCUCAAUAAGUUGAAUGAAUACAUAUAGGAUUCUAUCUUAUCCUAGAAGUGAUUCCUGCUGAAUGCAGGUUGUCUAUUUUCUACUUUCCUUUGUAAUUCUUUUCUCGUGAGGAGCUAUCCACAACCUGUCUGGCUUUCAAUGGAAAUGGUUUUAUAUAUUUAUCUUUGGAAUGCACCUAUACAUAUCAAACAUGACUCAAGACUUCUAAAAACCUAAAGUCUAAUUUAUAUGAUUGCUCUCGUAACAUAGGAAGCACCUUGAGCAACGGACCUAUAUCAAUAGUUGGCUGGUGAUGAUGGUAUUUCCUCAGGAAGUUAAAUUAACCUUUUACAGUUUAGCAGGAAACUUGGGUGGGAGUACCUAAAGACAUUCUGAAAGUAAUGCGACAUUUUCUACCUUACCAGUUUGCUAAGAUUAGCUUUAUUCAUUAGAUCAGGUUUCACAAUGAAGAACUUUAAAAGAAGCCCAAGGUUAAAAUUACAUCCCUGACUCACUUCCCAAUCUUUAGAUGUAAUAUGAGUGCCCAUUGGAAGAGUGAGGGACUCUCGUUUUUGCUGGAUAAACUGAGUAAUAGUGAAAUGCCAGUUCAUCUUCAUCUGUGGGAAGGAACUAUAUUUGCUCAGGAAUGCUGAGUUCUAGCAAUGGCAUAGAUGGCCAGAAUCAAUACUGGCUAUGCCACUUAUUUGGGUGUCUUGGCUUAUUAACCUUUAUUUUACUCAUCUAAAAAACACAAACUAGCAGGGUUAAAUGAGCUAACGUUUGUAAAUUACUAGCAUGCAACACAUGGCUCAAAAUAAGUCUUAAACAAGCUAUGACGAUGAUUCUUACACUACAAGAGGCCCUGGAACAGUGAGGUAAGAGUUUGUGGCCUGCACUAUUUGCAGAGGAUAUGGUUUUUCCUACAUAGAAAAUCUCGAGGAACUUAUAUAACAAUAACAAGUAAAUAAAUUCAGCAAAGCUGCAAGAUAAAAGGUUAAUAUUAAAAAAUAUUUUUGUAUGCUAGCAGCAAACAAUUGGACAAGAAAAUAAAUUGCAUUUACAGUAAUCUCAAUAAAACAAAUACCAAAAAAAUAAGAAAAUUAAGUUCUUUAUAUUUAAAAUGAUAAAACUUGACUGAGGAAAAAUGAUAGACCAUGCUGAAGUGGAAGACUUAACAUUGCGAAGGCGGCCAUUCUUCCCAAAUCAAUCUAUAGACUUAAUGAACUUCCAGUAAUUCUAGCAGACAUCUCUGUCAAAUUAGACAAUCUGAUUCUAAAAUGGAUAUGGAAAUGCAAAGGUUCUAUAAAGUAAUUUUAAGAAAGAAGUCCAAAACUGAAGGACUCCACUAACCUGAUUUUAAAUCUCACUAUAAAGCUAUUGCCAUCAAUACAGUUAAGUGAAGGAAAAAAGGUAUUAUUGCUUAAGGGAACAGAAUAGAGGGUCCAGAAAUAGAUCACUAAUGUACGGUCACCUAAUAUUGGCAGAGGUGAAGUGGCACUGCAGCGUGCACCUCCCAAUCCUAGUCAGGGAACCUGCUGAUUCCUCUUCGGGGUCAAAUGCCAUGACUCUUGUUCAGAAUGAGCUUUCCUUCCGUGCAGCAUUUUACUCAUUUCAGGAUUUCAGUGUUGGUACUCUGCUCAGAAUAAUACCUAUGCUUUCCAACUACAUACACUGCUGUUGUUGUAAUUAUUGUCACUACAACACCAGUUUAGGGUUUGUCCUCUGAAAUGAGGAUUACAGUCCUCUGAGGGACCAGUCUAAAACUAAUUUAGAGAUUCCUUCAACUCACCUUCAGCUCAUUUACAUUCAACUCACUGAAUGUAAAUAACAUUUCAGUAACAUUUACAGAAAACACUACAUUCUUUGGGCUGCAUAAGUGCAAGUGCAUGGCAAUGGUAUCUUUGGGGCAUACUCUAUGAAUUAAAAUAAAACCUUAGGGCUUCAGAAAAUAAGCAUGCACUUAUUCACUGUUGGCCUAAUAUUCUAAAAAGUAUUAAAGGAGAUAGGAACAGCAGAUAUGGUCUCUGGGCUGAGAAGCUGACAAACUAAUUUGGGAGAUAAGGCAGACACACACCUGUGCCCUGCUCUUCACUCCAUUCCUUUCUGUAUUAAGCUCACGGUUGCCCUGCUUGGAUUCAGGGACUCUAGGAGAUGCACUCACGCUCACUGCCUCUUCACACAGGAAACUGCUGGAGAACAUGUCAGUGUGAGCCAGUGUGUUACAGGCUGCAAGUCCUACAGGAAUUCAGAGAUGAGAAUUCUCCUACACAGGCUGAUGCAGUGGUUCACAGCAGGUACUGGAGACAGCUGUAUCUCCCCAUGUGCAGAGAAAUGUCACAGCAAGUGCUGCUGGCUGCCAAGAGGACACGGAAAUGUUCCGCGUAUGUCUGCCGAGUUGUCUUAGCUGAAGAUUCAAAGUCAAACCUCUGAGUGUAGACCAGGGGUGUUUUACAAGUCAGACAUAACAUGAGAUAGGCUAAUAAAGGAUAAAUUGGGAACAGAGCACAGUUACAGCAAAUCAAAUGCCAGCAGACAAUGGAGAUGAGCACAUUUUCUUUGCUGCCGGGAAAGUGCGAUAGUGGGCAUCUUGCUCUGUGGUGAUGUUGCCUCUCGGAGCAAAUACUCUGGUAAAUGGGGAACAACCAGGAGGCUGGGUCAACGCUCUCCUCUGCCAACUACUUUAGCCCAAAAAUCAUAUAUGACUUGCAGCUAUGAUUCCAUCAGGUCAGGAUGGAUUUGUCCCUUAUAUAGGAAAGGAAUUAGAGAGGUAUUUGCUCCUUUUCCCACUGGGUCUGGAUAAUACUGAGCCACAAAUAACUAUCAGCACUUAGAAGGAGAAAGCCUCCUUAAGACCCUGAGGUUUCCUCAUUCUAACACAUGGCACAGAAU